CGUAGGGGGCGAGCGUUGUCCGGAGUUACUGGGCGUAAAGCGCACGCAGGCGGUCGGGCAAGUUUGGGGUGACAGUGGUCGGCUUAACUGACCAAGUGCCUCAAAGACUGCGCCGACUUGAGGGCCAGAGAGGGACACGGAACUCCAGGUGUAGUGGUGAAAUGCGUAGAUAUCUGGAAGAACACCAAAGGCGAAGGCAGUGUCCUGGGUGGUACCUGACGCUCAGGUGCGAAAGCUAGGGGAGCGAACGGGAUUAGAUACCCCGGUAGUCCUAGCCGUAAACGAUGACCACUAGAUGUGCGGGGUAUCGACCCCCUGCGUGUCGGAGCAAACGCGAUAAGUGGUCCGCCUGGGGAGUACGGUCGCAAGAUUA
Molecule: ribosomal RNA, 373 nt
Filed under: uncultured bacterium
Lineage: Bacteria
Description: bacterial SSU rRNA
Rfam family: Bacterial small subunit ribosomal RNA
Source: RNAcentral